AACGCACAUUGCGCCUCUUGGUAUUCCUUGAGGCAUGUCUGUUCGAGCGCCGUUUGACUCCUAAAGCUUAUGCUUUGUGUUGAGCUUUCUGACAAAUCUUUGCCAGAAGCUUCAAAUAUGUUUGCCUACUGUCAAAAAGCGAAAAGCAAUCAACUGCAGACCGUUUGCGACAAAGGCAUGUCAACGAUCGCAUGGCCUCGAAUCAGAUAAGGCUACCCGCUGAACUUAA
RNAcentral lists this unclassified non-coding RNA (229 nucleotides) under uncultured fungus. RNAcentral describes it as "sequence contains ITS2". The record is from RNAcentral. Lineage: Eukaryota; Fungi.